GACACGACAACACUAAAGGAACUCAAAGAAGCUGUGCACAUCAACAACAACGUGUCUGCACGGAUUAUCUGAUUCGAGAGUUGAUGACCACGACGACACGGCUUAGACGCUUCCUGACCUUAGUGGGUUCUAUGCACCAAGCGAAGCUGUUAUUACAAAAGGACAGGCUCUUAAAUUCUCUCGAAACUUCGGUAGUAUCAGUAUGGGGUCAGUAUAACACUAAUGAAAUUGUUCGCGAUGCGAGAUGAUGAUGCGCGUGAUGAUGCGUCUACGCGCAGUCUUCCUCAGUGGUUCAUGGCUCAUCUGUUGCGAUGAAAGAAGUCACUAAAAAGUCCCAUAACAUCAGUUCUCAAGUUCGGUAAGACGGCCUCGCGAUCUUCUGCGUCUACUGGAUACGCAGGCAGCACACGAAGAAUGGACCAAUAUUGGCCAAUUAUGGCAACUGCAACACGGCCCUAUAUUGGCAAGCCAAUAUCGCUGUUAUGGGUCCAAUAUUGGCAGGCCAGUUUUGCCGUUAUCUCGUAUAUACCUUCAUUGCAUCUUUCAGAUUACUCUAUUAUCUCAACAAAAAUCGCAAAGGUCAUGUACGAUUUGUGAUUUUUUGCUAGAACACUUGGGUUUCUAAUAAAUUAUU
Long non-coding RNA from Ornithodoros turicata, 634 nucleotides. RefSeq lists it as uncharacterized. The record is from RefSeq and is a predicted model, not a curated record. Lineage: Eukaryota; Metazoa; Arthropoda; Arachnida; Ixodida; Argasidae. The transcript is spliced from 4 exons.